RNAcentral lists this ribosomal RNA (433 nucleotides) under uncultured bacterium. RNAcentral describes it as "partial 16S ribosomal RNA". It matches the Rfam family "Bacterial small subunit ribosomal RNA", at positions 29 to 507 of the family's 1533-position model. The record is from RNAcentral.
AACGAACGCUGGCGGCAUGCCUAAUACAUGCAAGUCGAACGAAAACUCUGGGUCUAUUGGCGCACGGCUUCGUAACGCGUGGGAAUCUUCACUUGGGUUCGGACUAACUGUGAGAAAUUGCUGCUAAUACCGGAUGAUGGCUUCGGACCAAGGAUUUAUCGCCCCGGGAUGAGCCCGCGUAGGAUUAGCCAGUUGGUAGGGUGAUGGCCUACCAGGGCGAGGAUUCUUAGCUGGUCUGUGAGAAUGAUCAGCCACACCGGGACUCGGACGCGGCCCAGACUCCUACGCGAGGGGGCAGUGCGGGAUAGUGGAAAAUGGGCGCAGGGCUGAAGGUGCACUGACGGGUAAGUGCUGAAGGCCUUAAAGUUGUAAAGCGCUUUUAACAGGGAUGAUAAUGACGGUACCUGGAGAAUAAGCUCCGGCUAACUCCGUG